This 1334-nucleotide ribosomal RNA is filed under the name Neisseria meningitidis. RNAcentral's name for it is "bacterial SSU rRNA". It matches the Rfam family "Bacterial small subunit ribosomal RNA", at positions 202 to 1533 of the family's 1533-position model. Lineage: Bacteria; Pseudomonadati; Pseudomonadota; Betaproteobacteria; Neisseriales; Neisseriaceae. The record is from RNAcentral.
UUCGGGCCUUGCGCUAUUCGAGCGGCCGAUAUCUGAUUAGCUAGUUGGUGGGGUAAAGGCCUACCAAGGCGACGAUCAGUAGCGGGUCUGAGAGGAUGAUCCGCCACACUGGGACUGAGACACGGCCCAGACUCCUACGGGAGGCAGCAGUGGGGAAUUUUGGACAAUGGGCGCAAGCCUGAUCCAGCCAUGCCGCGUGUCUGAAGAAGGCCUUCGGGUUGUAAAGGACUUUUGUCAGGGAAGAAAAGGCUGUUGCUAAUAUCAGCGGCUGAUGACGGUACCUGAAGAAUAAGCACCGGCUAACUACGUGCCAGCAGCCGCGGUAAUACGUAGGGUGCGAGCGUUAAUCGGAAUUACUGGGCGUAAAGCGGGCGCAGACGGUUACUUAAGCAGGAUGUGAAAUCCCCGGGCUCAACCCGGGAACUGCGUUCUGAACUGGGUGACUCGAGUGUGUCAGAGGGAGGUAGAAUUCCACGUGUAGCAGUGAAAUGCGUAGAGAUGUGGAGGAAUACCGAUGGCGAAGGCAGCCUCCUGGGACAACACUGACGUUCAUGCCCGAAAGCGUGGGUAGCAAACAGGAUUAGAUACCCUGGUAGUCCACGCCCUAAACGAUGUCAAUUAGCUGUUGGGCAACUUGAUUGCUUAGUAGCGUAGCUAACGCGUGAAAUUGACCGCCUGGGGAGUACGGUCGCAAGAUUAAAACUCAAAGGAAUUGACGGGGACCCGCACAAGCGGUGGAUGAUGUGGAUUAAUUCGAUGCAACGCGAAGAACCUUACCUGGUCUUGACAUGUACGGAAUCCUCCAGAGACGGAGGAGUGCCUUCGGGAGCCGUAACACAGGUGCUGCAUGGCUGUCGUCAGCUCGUGUCGUGAGAUGUUGGGUUAAGUCCCGCAACGAGCGCAACCCUUGUCAUUAGUUGCCAUCAUUCAGUUGGGCACUCUAAUGAGACUGCCGGUGACAAGCCGGAGGAAGGUGGGGAUGACGUCAAGUCCUCAUGGCCCUUAUGACCAGGGCUUCACACGUCAUACAAUGGUCGGUACAGAGGGUAGCCAAGCCGCGAGGCGGAGCCAAUCUCACAAAACCGAUCGUAGUCCGGAUUGCACUCUGCAACUCGAGUGCAUGAAGUCGGAAUCGCUAGUAAUCGCAGGUCAGCAUACUGCGGUGAAUACGUUCCCGGGUCUUGUACACACCGCCCGUCACACCAUGGGAGUGGGGGAUACCAGAAGUAGGUAGGGUAACCGCAAGGAGUCCGCUUACCACGGUAUGCUUCAUGACUGGGGUGAAGUCGUAACAAGGUAGCCGUAGGGGAACCUGCGGCUGGAUCACCUCCUUU